Molecule: long non-coding RNA, 467 nt
Organism: Felis catus (domestic cat)
Lineage: Eukaryota; Metazoa; Chordata; Mammalia; Carnivora; Felidae
Exons: 4
Source: RefSeq, a predicted model, not a curated record
GUCAAGGUGUAUUGUUCAGGUCUUCUAAGAAUCUGAAGGCACUCCAGAAAUAGACAUACUACCUUACACAGACGUGAAGAUAUUCAAAGGAAUUUCUCUUUGGAUACUUAUGUUUUCUCUGUAGCCAAAGGGCCUGCAGGAGUUCAGAAGAGUCAGGAGGUCCCGGAGUGUUGAAAUUUGCUCACACUUCUGUGCUUCUAGCAGUCUUUGAAGCUGAUGGGAGGUGCGGCCACUCUUAAAGAUUCUCUUGUUGAGAAAUUGAUCAUGGAGUAACACUGGAGGAGUGAUUUUCCCAAUGAAGGAUCGUCAUCUGGGCUGCCUGAUUUCUUCAAUUCAGCUGUGGAGGUCCAGCACAGAUUUGAAUACAACACUGUAAGAGGAGCAUGGAGAGGACACUGGUGUGAGAUGUCAAAAUGCUCCCGGAUCUUCUCGGGCAGCAACGUCUUGCUGUGAAAAUAAGUAAGUCA